Molecule: transfer RNA, 73 nt
Filed under: Pseudomonas plecoglossicida
Lineage: Bacteria; Pseudomonadati; Pseudomonadota; Gammaproteobacteria; Pseudomonadales; Pseudomonadaceae
Description: tRNA-Lys
Rfam family: tRNA
About the family: Transfer RNA (tRNA) molecules are approximately 80 nucleotides in length.
Source: RNAcentral
UCGUUAGCUCAGUUGGUAGAGCAGUUGGCUUUUAACCAAUUGGUCGUAGGUUCGAAUCCUACACGACCCACCA